This 1557-nucleotide ribosomal RNA is filed under the name uncultured bacterium. Its description in RNAcentral is "bacterial SSU rRNA". It matches the Rfam family "Bacterial small subunit ribosomal RNA". The record is from RNAcentral.
GGGGAAUUGCGGACGCGAUUCGCCUUAGAGUUUGAUCCUGGCUCAGAUUGAACGCUGGCGGUAUGCUUAACACAUGCAAGUCGAACGGAAACGAUGGUAGCUUGCUACCAGGCGUCGAGUGGCGGACGGGUGAGUAACGCGUAGGAAUCUGCCUGAUAGUGGGGGAUAGCCCAGAGAAAUCUGGAUUAAUACCGCAUAAUCUCUAUGGAGUAAAGGAGCCCUCUUCUUGAAAGGUUUCGCUAUCAGAUGAGCCUGCGUAAGAUUAGCUUGUUGGUGAGGUAAAAGCUCACCAAGGCGACGAUCUUUAGCUGGUCUGAGAGGAUGAUCAGCCACACUGGAACUGAGACACGGUCCAGACUCCUACGGGAGGCAGCAGUGGGGAAUAUUGGACAAUGGGCGCAAGCCUGAUCCAGCAAUACCGCGUGUGUGAAGAAGGCCUGAGGGUUGUAAAGCACUUUCAAUUGUGAAGAAAAGCUAAUGGCUAAUACCCAUUAGCCUUGACGUUAACUUUAGAAGAAGCACCGGCUAACUCCGUGCCAGCAGCCGCGGUAAUACGGAGGGUGCAAGCGUUAAUCGGAAUUACUGGGCGUAAAGCGUGCGUAGGUGGUUUGUUAAGUUAGAUGUGAAAGCCCUGGGCUCAACCUAGGAACUGCAUUUAAAACUGGCAAACUAGAGUAUAGGAGAGGAAAGUGGAAUUUCAGGUGUAGCGGUGAAAUGCGUAGAUAUCUGAAGGAACAUCAAUGGCGAAGGCAGCUUUCUGGACUAAUACUGACACUGAGGUACGAAAGCGUGGGUAGCAAACAGGAUUAGAUACCCUGGUAGUCCACGCCGUAAACGAUGACAACUAGCCGUUGGGAGGAUUUACCUCUUAGUGGCGGAGCUAACGCGUUAAGUUGUCCGCCUGGGGAGUACGGCCGCAAGGUUAAAACUCAAAGGAAUUGACGGGGACCCGCACAAGCGGUGGAGCAUGUGGUUUAAUUCGAUGCAACGCGAAGAACCUUACCUGGUCUUGACAUACACGGAACUUUCCAGAGAUGGAUUGGUGCCUUCGGGAACCGUGAUACAGGUGCUGCAUGGCUGUCGUCAGCUCGUGUSGUSMRMMRUUGRGUUAAGUCCCGUAACGAGCGCAACCCUUAUCCUUAUUUGCCAGCACAUCAUGGUGGGAACUAUAAGGAGACUGCCGGUGAUAAACCGGAGGAAGGCGGGGACGACGUCAAGUCAUCAUGGCCCUUACGACCAGGGCUACACACGUGCUACAAUGGGAAGGACAAAGGGUUGCUAAGCCGCGAGGUGGUGCUAAUCUCAUAAACCUUUUCGUAGUCCGGAUCGGAGUCUGCAACUCGACUCCGUGAAGUCGGAAUCGCUAGUAAUCGUAGAUCAGAACGCUACGGUGAAUACGUUCCCGGGUCUUGUACACACCGCCCGUCAUACCAUGGGAGUGGGUUGCACCAGAAGUAGCUAGUCUAACUGUUUACAGGGGACGGUUACCACGGUGUGAUUCAUGACUGGGGUAAAGUCGUAACAAGGUAACCAAUGGCGAAUCGUAACUUAACGGCU